GCAAGUAAAAGUCGUAACAAGGUUUCCGUAGGUGAACCUGCGGAAGGAUCAUUAUUGGAUUUUGAAACUUCAGGCUGCUGCUGGCUCUCCUCGGAGGGCAUGUGCACGCUUGUUGUCCAUUAUUUCUCCCACUGUGCACAAAUUGUAGACCUUUCAGUAGGCCUAUGUUGUUUUUCACAAUCUCUGAAUGUAAUAGAAUGGUUUUGAAUCUUGGGAAAUACAAUACAACUUUCAGCAACGGAUCUCUUGGCUCUC
RNAcentral lists this unclassified non-coding RNA (255 nucleotides) under plant metagenome. RNAcentral's name for it is "partial contains small subunit ribosomal RNA, internal transcribed spacer 1, and 5.8S ribosomal RNA". The stretch from base 1 to 54 matches the Rfam family "Eukaryotic small subunit ribosomal RNA", at positions 1778 to 1831 of the family's 1831-position model. The record is from RNAcentral.